Molecule: ribosomal RNA, 208 nt
Filed under: Escherichia coli
Lineage: Bacteria; Pseudomonadati; Pseudomonadota; Gammaproteobacteria; Enterobacterales; Enterobacteriaceae
Description: partial 23S ribosomal RNA
Rfam family: Bacterial large subunit ribosomal RNA
Source: RNAcentral
ACGUGCUAAUCUGCGAUAAGCGUCGGUAAGGUGAUAUGAACCGUUAUAACCGGCGAUUUCCGAAUGGGGAAACCCAGUGUGUUUCGACACACUAUCAUUAACUGAAUCCAUAGGUUAAUGAGGCGAACCGGGGGAACUGAAACAUCUAAGUACCCCGAGGAAAAGAAAUCAACCGAGAUUCCCCCAGUAGCGGCGAGCGAACGGGGAG